GAGUUUGAUCCUGGCUCAGGACGAACGCUGGCGGCGUGCCUAACACAUGCAAGUCGAACGGAACUUCUUUAAAGGAUUUCUUCGGAAUGAAUUUGAUUAAGUUUAGUGGCGGACGGGUGAGUAACGCGUGAGUAACCUGCCUCUAAGAGGGGAAUAACAUUCUGAAAGAAUGCUAAUACCGCAUAAUAUAUAUUUAUCGCAUGGUAGAUAUAUCAAAGAUUUAUCGCUUAGAGAUGGACUCGCGUCCGAUUAGUUAGUUGGUGAGGUAACGGCUCACCAAGACCGCGAUCGGUAGCCGGACUGAGAGGUUGAACGGCCACAUU
Molecule: ribosomal RNA, 323 nt
Filed under: uncultured bacterium
Lineage: Bacteria
Description: bacterial SSU rRNA
Rfam family: Bacterial small subunit ribosomal RNA
Source: RNAcentral